AAAAAUUAUGAACAGAUUUCUAGAAAGAAAAGAAAUGCCAAUAUUUUUACAUUCACUAUUUGGUGAAGGGAACAAUUUCGCCUGUAAAAUGACUGAUUGGAUUUCAGUUUAAUGCACAUGUUCGAAUCAUGCCAUUGUUGAAAAUUUAAAUAGAAUCAUAAAUCACUCUUUUUGUAAGUUACAAUACUAGGCCUGUAAAACUAUUGCGACUAGGAAAAAUUCUCUAUCAAUGCUUUGACAGUAAGCAUACAAAAUGAUUAAGCUCUCCCACUUUGCUUUUUAGUUCUGGAGUCGCUUGUUGAGACUGCUGAUCCAGAGAGCUUGUUGACCUCAUAGAGCAAUACAGCUGAGAACAGGAAACUGCAUUCAUGCAACAAACAUUAGAAUAACAUCAAUAAUGGUUUCGUAAAAAAUAUCAAUUGAUACAUUUUAUGGUUUUAAAAUAGGAGAAAACUUAGCCACAGUUCUCUAGGUGCUGAUCAAACUGUUCACCAAUAAAAUAAUGUCAAGUGGACUACUAACCCACAUCAGCCUUGUUAUGAAUAUGAACUAACCUCCUGUUAUCUCUCACUACUUCCGUUAACCCUCACAGUCACAAACAUUGAAAGUAUGUCACUCUCAUCAUCACUUGAAACAAACGCCAACAUCAAUGUUCACUUAUCAAUAUAGUAGAUCUUUAGUGGUAUCUUCUACAAUUAGAUUUUACAUCAAUUAUUUCAAAUUAAUAAAAACAACUCUAAUUUAUUCUCUCAACACUUCAGAAUGUGUCUCAGGUGCUGAUUCCUCUAUAUGUGACACUUACAAAACUUUAGAAUAUUUGAUUCUCAAAUUGAGAGAACCAGAAGAUUAAUGAUGUGGAACUUCCCCAUUCCAAGUGAUUGCUGUUCUUGUUUUUUUCUUAAAAAGUGACUAUUGUUCUAAGAAGUAAGAACUGUAAUUAGUUCAUAAAAGGUGUAGAAAGGACUAUUUGGGUGUUUGUUGGAGGUGGCAAAGACACAGUUGUUCUUUGUGGCUAUUCCGGCAAGGUGGUUGGUUCAUGAACUAUCAACUAUGGCAGAAGUGUCGAUCAGAAACAUUGGGGGUAGUUGUGCCAGGAAGAUAAAUAAUUGUGUGGGUUAAUCGUGUGAUAGAGAAGUAACGGAGGAUAGCUUGAUUAAAUUGACUAAUCCAGUUGUCCUUUUUUUAUUGGAAAACAGUUUAAACAGCAUCUAAAGAACUGUGGCUAAGUUUUAUCCUUUAAAAUAAUAAAGUAUCCACAGUUAGCCAUCCUGUUACUUUGCUUUAAAGACUUUAUCUUUAAAUACCAGACUAUGACAAUACCAAAAUACUCUGCUAGUUGCUAUACUUGACUAUUUUGAUUUUUUGAUUUUUACUUUACAAGACCCUUUUGAUUCCAUUGAAAAAUUAUGCUCUCCAAAACGGAAACAUCCAUCUAAUUUUUUGCAAUUAGCAAGUUCAGAAUUAG
This 1465-nucleotide long non-coding RNA is filed under the name Trifolium pratense (red clover). Its description in RNAcentral is "long non-coding RNA (TPRA_LNC003878)". Lineage: Eukaryota; Viridiplantae; Streptophyta; Magnoliopsida; Fabales; Fabaceae. The record is from RNAcentral.